AGUGAACGCUGGCGGUAGGCCUAACACAUGCAAGUCGAACGGCAGCACAGUAAGAGCUUGCUCUUACGGGUGGCGAGUGGCGGACGGGUGAGGAAUACAUCGGAAUCUUCUUUUUCGUGGGGGAUAACGUAGGGAAACUUACGCUAAUACCUCAUACGUCCUACGGGUGAAAGCAGGGGAUCUUCGGACCUUGCGCGAUUGAAUGAGCCGAUGUCGGAUUAGCUAGUUGGCGGGGUAAAGGCCCACCAAGGCGACGAUCCGUAGCUGGUCUGAGAGGAUGAUCAGCCACACUGGAACUGAGACACGGUCCAGACUCCUACGGGAGGCAGCAGUAGGGAAUAUUGGACAAUGGGCGCAAGCCUGAUCCAGCCAUGCCGCGUGGGUGAAGAAGGCCUUCGGAUUGUAAAGCCCUUUUGUUGGGAAAGAAAAGCAGCGGAUUAAUACCCCGCUGUUCUGACGGUACCCAAAGAAUAAGCACCGGCUAACUUCGUG
RNAcentral lists this ribosomal RNA (492 nucleotides) under uncultured bacterium. Its description in RNAcentral is "partial 16S ribosomal RNA". It matches the Rfam family "Bacterial small subunit ribosomal RNA", at positions 29 to 507 of the family's 1533-position model. The record is from RNAcentral.